Saccostrea cuccullata (small rock oyster) is the source of this 116-nucleotide long non-coding RNA. RefSeq lists it as uncharacterized. The transcript is spliced from 2 exons. Lineage: Eukaryota; Metazoa; Mollusca; Bivalvia; Ostreida; Ostreidae. The record is from RefSeq and is a predicted model, not a curated record.
UUUCUGCUGUGAUAGGAUCCUUCCAGAUGUGCACAAAAAUGGCCGAGUUUGAUUCAAAUAAGUAUGCUGAAAUGCAUGGCCAGCAAGGAGGUGGUGGAAAGAAAGACAAGAAGGAA